GUUCAAUAGUACGUGAAACCUCUCGGGGGUAAGCGGGCAGAACUUGCAAGUAUUGGCGAGAAUAUUCAGGCUUAUUAUGUUGGCAACUGAGGGUGCUUUAUUAUGUUGUCCGUUUCGGCGGAUUGGCUGGUGUGUGCCCUUUGGUUUGUUGAUGAUGCGCCGCAUUUAUUCUCGUCAUCGGGUUGCAUGUGACUGAGGUUUUUGGUAGUUUAGGUGCUGAGGAUCUGCGAAGCCUUGUUGUUUCGAGUCUUGGUUUCCAACUACUACUGCGGUCAUUACACAUGAAUGAGCAGGCGUUUAGGCGCGGUCAAAGGCUUGUACGAGUUGUGUGCGUAUGAUGUGUGGACGGUUUUACCGUAGCAUGUUGUACGAGGCUGAUUGUCGGUACGAGUAAUAUUUGGC
Molecule: ribosomal RNA, 402 nt
Filed under: Folsomia candida
Lineage: Eukaryota; Metazoa; Arthropoda; Collembola; Entomobryomorpha; Isotomidae
Description: eukaryotic LSU rRNA
Source: RNAcentral